Non-coding RNA from Podarcis lilfordi (Lilford's wall lizard), 68 nucleotides. The record is from the annotation of a GenBank genome assembly. Lineage: Eukaryota; Metazoa; Chordata; Lepidosauria; Squamata; Lacertidae.
GCUGUAGCUCAGAGGUAGAGCAUCUGUCUUGCAAGCAGGAGGUCCCACAUUCAACCCUGGCAUCUCCA